This 74-nucleotide transfer RNA is filed under the name Candidatus Hodgkinia cicadicola. RNAcentral describes it as "tRNA-Gln (TTG) (tRNA-Gln-TTG-1-1)". It matches the Rfam family "tRNA". Rfam says of the family: Transfer RNA (tRNA) molecules are approximately 80 nucleotides in length. Their secondary structure includes four short double-helical elements and three loops (D, anti-codon, and T loops). Lineage: Bacteria; Pseudomonadati; Pseudomonadota; Alphaproteobacteria; Hyphomicrobiales. The record is from RNAcentral.
UGGAAUAUAGCCAAGAGGUAAGGCAUCGGUUUUUGGCACCGCCACCCCUGGUUCGAUUCCAGGUGUUCCAGCCA